GAUGAACGCUAGCGGCAGGCCUAACACAUGCAAGUCGAGGGGCAUCGCGGUGCAGCAAUGCACUGGCGGCGACCGGCGUACGGGUGCGUAACGCGUAUGCAACCUGCCCCGCACCGGGGGAUAGCCCGCCGAAAGGCGGAUUAAUACCCCAUGGUCCCGGGGGCCCGCAUGGGCAUCCGGGUAAAGCCUUGGCGGUGCGGGAUGGGCAUGCGUGCCAUUAGCUGGCUGGUGGGGUAACGGCCCACCAGGGCAACGAUGGCUAGGGGGUCUGAGAGGAUGGUCCCCCACACUGGGACUGAGACACGGCCCAGACUCCUACGGGAGGCAGCAGUGGGGAAUUUUGGACAAUGGGCGCAAGCCUGAUCCAGCCAUGCCGCGUGCGGGACGAAGGCCUUCGGGUUGUAAACCGCUUUCAGCCGGAAAGAAAUCGCUGACUUUAAUAGAGGCAGUGGAUGACGGUACCGGAAGAAGAAGCACCGGCUAACUACGUG
RNAcentral lists this ribosomal RNA (491 nucleotides) under uncultured bacterium. RNAcentral describes it as "bacterial SSU rRNA". It matches the Rfam family "Bacterial small subunit ribosomal RNA", at positions 28 to 507 of the family's 1533-position model. The record is from RNAcentral.